CUGGCCGUAAACGAUGGGCACUAACUAGAAGUCUCACCUGUGGGAUUUCUGGUGAAGCAAAUGUGAUAAGUGCCCCGCCUGGGAAGUAUGGUCGCAAGGCUAAAACUCAAAGGAAUUGACGGGGGCUCACACAAGCGGUGGAGCAUGUGGUUCAAUUCGACGCAACGCGAAGAACCUUACCUAGGCUUGACAUGCAGGGAUUAGAUCCGUGAAAGCGGGUCGAUUGCCUUCGGGUGUAACCUGCACAGGUGU
This 252-nucleotide ribosomal RNA is filed under the name uncultured bacterium. RNAcentral describes it as "partial 16S ribosomal RNA". It matches the Rfam family "Bacterial small subunit ribosomal RNA", at positions 796 to 1041 of the family's 1533-position model. The record is from RNAcentral.